This 322-nucleotide ribosomal RNA is filed under the name uncultured eukaryote. Its description in RNAcentral is "partial 18S ribosomal RNA". It matches the Rfam family "Eukaryotic small subunit ribosomal RNA", at positions 1470 to 1796 of the family's 1831-position model. The record is from RNAcentral.
CCCUUAGAUGUUCUGGGCCGCACGCGUGCUACACUGAGUAAUUCAAUGGGUAAGGGAACGCUAGAGCAUUACCUAAUCUUGAAAUUUGCUCGUGAUGGGGAUCGACGGUUGCAAUUUUCCGUCGUGAACGAGGAAUACCUUGUAGGCGCAUGUCAUCAUCAUGCGCCGAAUACGUCCCUGCCCUUUGUACACACCGCCCGUCGCUCCUACCGAUUGAGUGAUCCGGUGAGGCUCUGGGACCUGGACGGAAAGAGCGUUUCGCUUGUUCUGUCUGGGAAACUUGGUCGAACCUUAUCAUUUAGAGGAAGGAGAAGUCGUAACA